RNAcentral lists this ribosomal RNA (254 nucleotides) under uncultured bacterium. RNAcentral's name for it is "partial 16S ribosomal RNA". It matches the Rfam family "Bacterial small subunit ribosomal RNA", at positions 524 to 776 of the family's 1533-position model. The record is from RNAcentral.
CACGUAGGGGCCAAGCGUUGUCCGGAUUUAUUGGGCGUAAAGAGCUCGUAGGCGGUUCGACAAGUCGGGUGUGAAAACUCCGGGCUCAACCCGGAGACGCCACCCGAUACUGUCGUGACUGGAGUCCGGUAGGGGAGUGGGGAAUUCCUGGUGUAGCGGUGGAAUGCGCAGAUAUCAGGAGGAACACCGGUGGCGAAGGCGGGUCUCUGGGCCGAGAUUGACGCUGAGGAGCGAAAGCGUGGGGAGCGAACGGG